GGCGAACUGCUCAGUAACACGUAGCUAACCUAACCUUAGGUCAUGGAUAACAUCGGGAAACUGAUGCUAAUACGUGAUAGGAGAUUAUUUCUGGAAGGAGUUUUCUCUGAAAUUCGAGCCUAAGGAUGGGGCUGCGGCGGAUUAGGUAGUUGUUGGUGUAAAAGACCAACAAGCCGAAGAUCCGUAAGGGCCUUUAGCGAGGGGGCCCUGAGAAGGAAUCUGAGACACUAUUCCUAGCCCUACGGGGUGCAGCAGUUAAGAAUUUUUUGCAAUGCGCGAAAGCGUGACAAAGCGAGCCAGAGUGUUUUUCCGUAAAGGAAAAACUUUUUCUUACUGCAAAAAAGUAGGCGAAUAAGGACUGGGCAAGACCGGUGCCAGCCGCCGCGGUAAUCCCGGCAGUCCAAGUCGCAACCACAAUUAUUGGGUCUAAAACAUCCGUAGCUUGCUUUUCAAGUCUCUUGUGAAAUUCUGUCUCUUAAGGGCAGACCGUGCGAGAGAUACUGGAGAGCUAGAGACCGGAGGAUGUAAGGAGUACAGUUAAGGUAGUGGUAAAAUAUUUUAAUCUUAGCUGGACUAACAACAGCGAAGGCACCUUACAAAUACGGAUCUGACAGUGAGGGAUGAAGGCUAGGGGCGCAAAAUGGAUUAGAUACCCAUGUAGUCCUAGCAGUAAACACUGCACACUAAACAUCAGCAUCUCCUCGAGAGAUGUUGGUGCUGUAGGGAAGCCGAAGAGUGUGCUACCUGGGAAGUAUAGCCGCAAGGCCGAAACUUAAAGGAAUUGGCGGGGGAGUACUACAACGGGUGACGCGUGCGGUUCAAUUAGAUUCUACACCGUGAACCUCACCAGGACCGAUAGCAGAAUGAAGGUCAGUCUAAAGGGCUUACCUGACACGCUAAGAGGAGUUGCAUGGCCGACGUCAGCCUGUGUCGCGAGAUGAUCUGUUAAAUCAGGUAACAGGCGAGACCCAUGUGUAUAGUUGAUAUUCACACUAUACAGACUGCUUGGGCAACCAAGAGGAAGGUGUGGGCUACGUUAGGUGAGUACGGCCCGAACGCCCUGGGCUACACGCGCGCGGCAAUGCUGCAUACAGUGAGAUGCAACUCUGAAAAGAGAAGCUAAUCCCAUAAAGUGCAGCUCAGUUCAGAUUGAGGAUUGAAACUUAUCCUCAUGACGCUGGAAUCCGUAGUAAUCGUUCUUUAUCAGAGAACGGUGAAUAAGUCCCUGCUCCUUGCACACACCGCCCGUCAAACCAACCGAGUUAUGCUUUGGUGAGGCUCGAAAGAUACGAACCUCGGUAUGACAAGGUAGGUUAAGUCGUCACAAGGUA
This 1331-nucleotide ribosomal RNA is filed under the name metagenome. Its description in RNAcentral is "bacterial SSU rRNA". It matches the Rfam family "Archaeal small subunit ribosomal RNA". The record is from RNAcentral.